CUUUUCUUUUUUCUGUAGGUUAUUGUAGCUGCAGAUCAAGAGGUGGAAGAGAUAAUCAAAACUACAGAGAACCGUGAGUCCGUGGAUCUGGAAGCAAGUUCGGGUCAGAUAGGCGACAAUGUGGUUCUGCGAAAGCUGCUUGUGAGUUGAUAUAUUUGAUCUGAAAUGUGAUUGAUUGAUUUUCAAAAUACUGUAAGCUGAGGAAUGCUUAGUUGGGUAUAUCACUUCAUGUUUCUUUUCUAUCAGCGGGGUCCAAGAUAUUUUGACCCUCCAGAUAGUAGUUGGGGAGCAUGCUAUAAUUGUGGCGAGGAAGGUCAUGCUGCUGUAAACUGUACAGAAGCGAAGCGGAUGAAACCGUGCUAUGUAUGUGGUGGUUUGGGACACGUUGCAAAGCAAUGUACUAAGACGAAUUGCUAUAUCUGUAAGAAAGGUGGCCACCGUGCCAAAGAUUGUCCAGAGAAGCACAUGUCGGCACGUGUUCCUAAAAGCUUAACGGUGUGCUUGAAGUGUGGGAAUUCUGGGCAUGAUAUGUUUUCAUGCAGGAAUGAUUAUUCACCGGAUGAUCUCAAGGAGAUUCAAUGUUAUCUCUGCAAGACAUUUGGCCAUUUGUGCUGUGUCAAUACUGCUGAUGCAAUACUGGGAGAAAUUUCUUGUUACAAAUGUGGUCAGAUGGGUCAUACUGGUUUGUUCACAAUUAGAUAUUCCCUAAAAUGAAUGGAUGCUGCAUCAUAACUAGCAAGUAGCAAAUGCAUGUACAUCUUGUAAGGAAGGACAUGGUAAACAUGGGAAUGAGAACUGAAUUGGGACCCGUGAAGAUGGUGAAUGGACAAAUUAUCCGGAUAUGAAGCAAUUAGUUGAUACAUCAAUAAAAGUGUUCCGAUCUCAAAGACAAGCUCGAGUACCACGUACUAAAUCCAGCAACAUUACGUGGAUAAAAGUGCAGUGUCCUCUACAGCGCAACG
Molecule: RNA transcript, 962 nt
Organism: Lathyrus oleraceus (garden pea)
Lineage: Eukaryota; Viridiplantae; Streptophyta; Magnoliopsida; Fabales; Fabaceae
Exons: 6
Source: RefSeq, a predicted model, not a curated record